Molecule: ribosomal RNA, 375 nt
Filed under: uncultured archaeon
Lineage: Archaea
Description: bacterial SSU rRNA
Rfam family: Archaeal small subunit ribosomal RNA
Source: RNAcentral
UCGCAAUGCGCGCAAGCGCGACGAGGUUAUUCCGAGUGAUUUCCGCUGAGGAGAUCUUUUCUCAGAUCUAAAAUGUCUGGGGAAUAAGGGGAGGGCAAGUCUGGUGUCAGCCGCCGCGGUAAUACCAGCUCCUCGAGUGGUCAGGGCGUUUAUUGGGCCUAAAGCAUCCGUAGCCGGCUCAGUAGGUCUUCUGUUAAAUCCAACGGCUCAACCGUUGGUCUGCAGGAGAUACCGCUGGACUAGGAGGCGGGAGAGGCGGACGGUACUCCGAGGGUAGGGGUAAAAUCCUUUGAUCCCCGGAAGACCACCAGUGGCGAAGGCGGUCCGCCAGAACGCGCUCGACGGUGAGGGAUGAAAGCUGGGGGAGCGAACCGG